CCUGAGGUACUGGAAGGUCCUCAGGCCGAAAGGGGCUCUGCCCGCCCGAGGAUGGGCCGGCGGCCGAUUAGGUAGUUGGUGGGGUAACGGCCCACCAAGCCGAAGAUCGGUACGGGCCAUGAGAGUGGGAGCCCGGAGAUGGACACUGAGACACGGGUCCAGGCCCUACGGGGCGCAGCAGGCGCGAAACCUCCGCAAUGCGGGCAACCGCGACGGGGGGACCCCCAGUGCCGUGGCAACGCCACGGCUUUUCCGGAGUGUAAAAAGCUCCGGGAAUAAGGGCUGGGCAAGGCCGGUGGCAGCCGCCGCGGUAAUACCGGCGGCCCGAGUGGUGGCCGCUAUUAUUGGGCCUAAAGCGUCCGUAGCCGGGCCCGUAAGUCCCUGGCGAAAUCCCACGGCUCAACCGUGGGGCUUGCUGGGGAUACUGCGGGCCUUGGGACCGGGAGAGGCCGGGGGUACCCCUGGGGUAGGGGUGAAAUCCUAUAAUCCCAGGGGGACCGCCAGUGGCGAAGGCGCCCGGCUGGAACGGGUCCGACGGUGAGGGACGAAGGCCAGGGGAGCGAACCGGAUUAGAUACCCGGGUAGUCCUGGCUGUAAAGGAUGCGGGCUAGGUGUCGGGCGAGCUUCGAGCUCGCCCGGUGCCGA
Molecule: ribosomal RNA, 645 nt
Filed under: uncultured archaeon
Lineage: Archaea
Description: bacterial SSU rRNA
Rfam family: Archaeal small subunit ribosomal RNA
Source: RNAcentral